GUGGGGAAUAUUGGUCAAUGGGCGAGAGCCUGAACCAGCCAAGUAGCGUGCAGGAUGACGGCCCUAUGGGUUGUAAACUGCUUUUAUACAGGGAUAAAGUGGGGAACGUGUUCCCUUUUGUAGGUACUGUAUGAAUAAGGACCGGCUAAUUCCGUGCCAGCAGCCGCGGUAAUACGGAAGGUCCGGGCGUUAUCCGGAUUUAUUGGGUUUAAAGGGAGCGCAGGCCGAUGGUUAAGCGUGACGUGAAAUGUAGCCGCUCAACGGCUGAACUGCGUCGCGAACUGGCUAUCUUGAGUGAGUUCGAUGUUGGCGGAAUUCGUGGUGUAGCGGUGAAAUGCUUAGAUAUCACGAAGAACUCCGAUUGCGAAGGCAGCCAACAAGGCCUUUACUGACGCUAAAGCUCGAAGGUGCGGGUAUCGAACAGG
This 425-nucleotide ribosomal RNA is filed under the name uncultured rumen bacterium. RNAcentral describes it as "bacterial SSU rRNA". It matches the Rfam family "Bacterial small subunit ribosomal RNA", at positions 354 to 776 of the family's 1533-position model. The record is from RNAcentral.